This is a long non-coding RNA of Passer domesticus (house sparrow), 6074 nucleotides long. RefSeq lists it as uncharacterized. The transcript is spliced from 7 exons. The record is from RefSeq and is a predicted model, not a curated record. Lineage: Eukaryota; Metazoa; Chordata; Aves; Passeriformes; Passeridae.
GGAACCAUUGUUUCACAAAAUAUUGUAUCCUCCUCUGUGGAUAUUAAUGUUAGAUGUGUUUUGGUAGCAAUGAAGUUUUCUUUGGUUCCCAUACUGGCCUUAUUAGGCAGUUAAGGAGAAAAAAUAUCUGUAUCUACCCACAUUUAUCCUUAAUGAUGAGGAAUAUAGAGGCAACCUUUCCAUAUAUGCAUAUUAUCCCUGCUGAAAAUUAAUGUUAAAACUGCUCUCAAAAACCUACACAAAGGAAGAACUUCAAGGGUAUUCUUGAAGUAAGCUGUGAGUUGAGAAUUAGAGACCCCCAUGCCCAGUAAGAAAUGGAUUUUGUGGUCUCUUUGUACUGUUAAAAUUCCUUUUGGAAAGGAACUCCCACUGUCUAAAGUACCAUAAGGUUUUACAAGUGUUCAGAAGAUGAAAUGCUACCAGAUGUUAAGUUCAAGAAGCAAGUUAACUACUGUUGUCAGAUGGAAGAGCUUCUUUGUGUUUGGUAACUUCUCCUUACCUUCUGUCCCCCUCUGCCCUCACCCCCUCUGUUCUCUUGACCACAGCAGCAGCCAGACUGCCCAUCUCUUCUGCAAGGAAACUGGUGCUCCAUCACACAGAAGGGAGAAACCUCUCUAUUGUACUGGGCAUACAAUUAAAUCGAUGGUUGCUGGGAUUAGCAAAGUCUUUUACUGAAAUGGGUUAUCCAACUAAACUUCUGUGGUUAAAUUUAGCUCACCUUUAAAUGUAUAUUCAGAAGCAGAAGAGAAAUCUCUAAUAGCACAGUGAAAAUGUAUUAAGGGCACAUGAAAAGGAUUGCUCAUGUCCAGCACUCUCACCUUAGUGCUGCUACAAUGAUGCUAUUUUUGCCUUAACACUUUUUUUUUUCUUCAUAAUGUGAUUCAAAUACAUAAAAGGUGCAUGGAUUUGAAGCACAUCAGAGGUCAUUUCCUCCUGUGACUCACUAAUCAGCCUUGGUACUUUCAUAUGUACAGCAGGAACUUUCAGACAAAGUGUUGACAAGCACCAGCCCUGAGCUUCCAGUGAGGCAGAGGUGACUGAAGCAGAUCUGUGUCUGAUCAGAUAAGAAGGAGCCAGGACAAGGCCUCUGCCAGGAACUGAAUGUUUUGGGAAGAACAAAGGAGUUACCCUAAUUCAUGUGCCAAAAUUAGCAAAAAAAGUUUGACUUCUGAGCUCUUUGUCCAUGCAGCCUUCCUGGAAAACAAGGGAAGGAAACCCAUAGAGCUCCCAUGGAACGAUGCAGAACACCCCUGACAGCAAAAAGCAGCCUGGGGAGAGAGCCAGGAGCUGCAGCACCUCUGCCAUAAGGAAUCACUGUUUUGCCCUGUGUAAGUCCUAGACAUUGAGAUCCCAGGAAGGAGAGUGAGGGAUGGAUUGCCUCUCAACAUCACUUUGCAGUGAAUUGUGGCCAGAGAUGGAAAAGCUACAUUAAAAAUUCAAGUUUACCAAUGCAAUGUUCCUGACAGAGCUGAGAGCAGAUCACAAGACCCCUGAGUGUUGUACCAAGCUGAGGGAUGGUCCAAAGAGGCAGGGAGGUAGUGGCAGCACACCAGCAGAAGAGGCAUACAGAGAUGAAAAGUGAGCAGUGCCCAUGCAUUCUGAAUUAAAAAGAGCCAGGAGCUUCACAAACCAGCCAGAGCCAGCCUGAACCAUUGCUCCACAGAAGUAAAUGUUUUUUAUUCAAUAUAAGGAAGCAGAUACAACCUGAGGGAAAAAAACAAGACCAAGAAUGUAGGAGGAAGGUCACCUGGUAAAAAGAGAAUGGUUUGUGAAUUUCAUGGAAAUACUAGAGAAAAAUGCAAGCUGCCAUAAAUGUAUAAAACAGCUUUAUUUAAAUAUGAAAAUAUUGAGCCAGACCACUUUUACUACAGAAACAGUGAAAAACUCCAAACUAUUAGUGACUUCAGUUGACAAAGGAUGCAGUCUUAUAUGUAAUGGAAAGAGGCAGCUGAAGUGGAGCAGAAAUGGAAAGAAACAUUUUAAACUUUUGCUUUUACUGACACAUCCACCUUACUGAAUCCUCCAGUUUCAGGACAGGAAGUAGGUCUGCCUGUGGUUAUAGAAAAAGGACCCAAAAGUAUUUUUCCUUAAAGGACAUACAUCUUCAAAGCCUAAGUGUGAACCAAAUAUGGAAUCUGGACCAUUUUAGUGGGGAAUGUUCACAAUUUUUUCUACAAAUGCAUUCAAAGUCUGUGAAAAAGUCCAAAUGAAGCAUAUAGAUGCUGUAGAUGACACCCCUCUGUUUAAUCAGUAUGACCAAACUGGUGUGCAGGAGUCUCCAGGUAAUACUCUUGGAAACAAUUUGAUUUACCAUUGAGCAGUUUGGUAAGACAAAAGAACACAUGCAGGUUUCUUACUUACAUUUGUUUCCUUGUUUCUAAAUUCCUUCUCCCUCUGUAGUCUGUAGUGGUCUAUCUCGGCUGUGGCUUCUUCCUUGGCCUGCUUCAGCCUUUUACCCUUUCCUGGAGGGGGAAGAAAGAGGCAUUUAUUUCAUACAUCCCUGUAUCCCCACAGAUGAAUCUCUCCAAAUCAGAGAUAUUUCAGCUGGCAUAGUAGAACACUGACUUUGCUGAAAGCCUUGUCCAUCGGAUUUACACAAGAAUGCUCAGAAGAGAUGAAGUCAUUGACUUAGAACACUUUUUGACUGCUAGCCAGUCAUGCAAGUACCCCUCUUUUGAGACCAACUUCCUGUGCAGAAGCACACAUCAAGUGAAGAGCUUCUUGGUUUGCUGACAACAGAAGUCUUUCUGCAAGUAGACAUCUUCCCGCAACACAAAUGCAUUUUUUUUUCUAAUCACAGCUUGGUGUUUAAAUAAAUAUCUAUCUUUUCUUCAUCAGCAAUAGUAGCAGCCAGAUAACAGAUUUUAGUUGUCAUGGAUGGGAAAAGACGUUAUUCUGUAAGAUUUCCUGCAUUGAUUGGUUGCCAGAAUCCCUUCAUCCCACACCAACUGGAUUCUGCUUAGAGCUGGCAGAUAUCCAAAAUAAUGCAAGAUGUCUUAACCACUACCAAACUGAGUUGCAACUUUCAGGCUUUGUCCUUUCCUCCCGCAUCCUCUUCUACUAACCUUUCUUAAAUGCAGAGGUGAGUGACUAAGAUAAGGAGGUCAAUUCUUUGUCAAUGCACAGAAAACAUGAAAGGGAUUAAUUUUUUUUUCUUUUAAUUUUAAACAAGGUGAUCUGUAAGGUGACAUUUUAGCGUGUAGUGGAAACUAGAGCCUUCCUCCUCACCAGGCUUGAUUACAUACCUAAUUUUGUUUGCUGUGAAUAGUUUGUUUUAGGUAAAAUGCUAUGGGCUUGUCAAAUUAAGAGCAUGUAAGUCACUGCAGGACUGGACAUAAGGACCUCUCUGGAUCUAGUAGGGUUGUCAUGUAAAGAAUAAGAGUAAAUGGUUUGAUGGAAAUUUGGUGUUUAAGGUUGUACAUGAAGAAACCCUCUGGGCUUCUCUGUCAUUUAUAAAGUCAGUAAAGUUGCAUGGAUCUCCUCAGGAUUCUGCGACACUACCUUGUGAGGAAACAGUCCAUUUAGAAAAGCAAUUUUCUAAAUGUAAACCUCUUGCAUGGAUUGUUGGUAUGCUAUACUUGAGACACCUGGGCUGGUGCUGAUUUUUGGGGUCUCUUUAUGCUGUACAGCUAGAAUUUUAGGAGCAGGGGGAAUAAGGUUGCUCUCUUUUCUUAACAGGGCUGAAAAAUUGUUUCUUAUCAGUGGCUGAAAAAUUGCUUAGUUGCUUAAAUUAGGAUAUCACAAGAACGUGAGAGUGGCGGCCUAGGCAGCUGAAAGAGCCAUGUUGAUCUCUUGUGGCACACUGAUUUAUUUACUUACAGUAACAACCUAUUUAACACCACUAUUUCCUUUCCUGAAAUCCUAGGAAACAUUCUCUGCCUAGGCUAGGAAGAUGAAAGAUUUCUCGUUUUCUUUCUCCAAGCUGUUACACUGGUUUGGUUACAUCUGAGCUGGGCUUCUCCAGCCUUAUCAGGUGUGUCAUAUAGAAACUUGCUCCCACUGAGCAUGGCAUAAUGAGGAAGCUGACGCUUGAGAGGAAGAUUGCUUUUAAUACACCUGAGAUUCAGCAAAAGCCUGGGUAAAAAAAUGGAUUCAGCAGGAAAUGACUUCUCCAGCUGAAUGCUCUUUCCAAAAUAAUUAUCUGCAGAUGGGUGAGUAGAAGCAGAGAGAUGCACAAAAUGGGAAUUACUUUUAAGUCUUGAUUUCUGGACUACUGGCUUAUUGUGGAACCUUGGGAGUGGCAUGCACACAGGCUUUUAACAGGAAGGAGCAACCUACUGAGGAACUAGAUAGCUUUAUUGACUCCCAGUCCAUCAGUGCAGGGCUCUCGUGUGUGGGAAAUUAUAUUUAUCAGAGUCCUUCUCCCACUGAACCACUGUGCUUAUGUAUAAACGGGAGAGAGGCUGUUUUAAACCUAGUGGGUACUUUUCCAGAGUUUGUAUUUUUUUGAACAAGGCUGAUUUCCCCCAGCUUCUGCCACUCACUGUAUGAAGUGUUGGGACUAGGAUGAGUGAACUGACAGAUCUGUGUGAGAGCCUGACAUAAGUCUGGACAACAAAAUUUGGAACCAGGUUCAGAGCACAGCCAAGCUAAAAUCAACCCUUACACACUGAAGGGUGGUGGAGCGCUGAAAUUCAGCCAAAAUCAUGCAAAAAGAGGGCAAGAAGUGCAGGAGGAUGGGAAAACCAGCCCGGUCCUAUGACAUUUCCUCAGGAUCAGAGGUGAGGUACAGAAAGCCCCAAAUUUGAAGAGAUUUUUGCCACAAAGGUCAUGCUGUGGGGACAAGGAUUACUGCUGGCCCUCUGUUCCUCCUUCCAUCCUUGAAGAUGGAGAGCAGCAAAGCAGCUGUGCUAUGCCUGGUUUCCUUGUCCACAGCCUAUAAUUUUUUAGGCAUUGAGUUAAAUUGGCCAAAUUUUAAAAAACUUGCUGUGACCAGUCAGCACUGUGGAGGAUUUUCUUGCCUAACAUGGGAAGGUGUUAUUAGCAUGGAGAAAGGCUGUAUUCUUCUUUAUUUAGGUAUUUUUGUGAUGUUCAUGAAACACUUUGCUCUGGUUAGAUCCAUAAGAACUGAUGUCUUUUAAGCUGUUGGAGUUUUUUAGAUCUUGGAAGAAAGGCAGUAGAAGGCAAAAAUUUUGCAUUCUAAUUUGUUCAAACACUAAGUUAUCUUACUUUCCAAAAACUGCAAUGCUAAAAUUGGAGUUUUGUUUUCAAACAUAUCAUCUAGGCUUCUAGCUGAAUUUCUGCAUAGAAAUCAAGUCAUUUGAAGAAGUUGCCAAAAAUUAAUCAUAUUUUCUUAAAAUAGAACCAUUUCAGUUGUCUUUGCUAAAUUGUCUGGAAAAUGGGAUUUGGGGAUGUGCAAUGUGAGAAAACUAUUUUGUACUUUUAAUAAAAUAGAAUAGAGGCAAGCUGAGCAUUAUGUAUAGCUUUCUCAGUAGAUAAAAUAUGUCUUGGAUAUUGUCCAAGAAGAGCGCCAUGGAUAUAAUUCUGUUUACAAUAUCUUAUUUUGAUUAACAUUUGGUUUUAAUCUGAUUUUCUAUGAUCUUUCAUCAGAGUUUUCUUUUUAUUAGGCAUGAGAAAUUCAAGGGAAGAUAUAAAAAUCUAGAGGAGAAUGAGUUUUGCUAAGCCCAGUGUUCACGACACAUUUGUUUCCCUUAUUUUACCCAAAAGGAUUUUCAGGAAUUGAUGGCUUGGCGCUGACAAUGCUCAGUUAUUUCUGGGAUCCAAAUUGUGCUUAAAGUAAAAAUGAUAGAUAAAGCAGCACCAUGUUCAAAUGGUCAGAGGAUUGCAGACUGGUUUGGCUUGUGUUUAAUCAAUCUAAUUUCAGCCUUGCAUGUGUUCAUUUAAUUAAUUAUUUAAAACAUUAACAAUUUUUCAGGUAUAAAUUAUAUCAGCUAGUGGUAUCAUGCCAGGCAAAAUGGUAUUGGGCAAGAAGUAAGAAAAAGCAUGUACAGAGGAACUUUAGCAUCAUAUUUUUGCUUUGUUUUGUGUGUAUUAAUAUAAUUUUAUUUGCUAAUUUUUUCAGUUACUUCAAAUGGCUUUUGCAUUACUAACAAGUGCACAUAUGUCAGCAAAAC